GACAAUGAGGAUGUGAACCGACUUCGGAUUCACAAAAAUGAUUUCUUUUUAAUUUAUUAGUUUAAGGUAAUUUUGACUUAAUAUACUCAACUUAAAUUGAGUCCUUGAGUCGAAAGUUGGUUUACGCUAAGUUGACUGUUGCUUUCUUUUACUGUUUAUUUUUGAGAGGUGACAAUGAAGGAUACUAAGUCCUGAUUUCUUUUUAAUUUAUUAGUUUAAGUUAAUUUUGACUUAAUAUACUCAACAACUUAAAUUAAGUCCUUGAGUUGAAAGUUGGUUUACACUAAGUUGACUUUUGUUUUCUUUUUUAUGUUUAUUUUUUAUAGGUGACAAUGAAGGAUACUAAGUCCAUCAUAUAAGAAGGCAUAGCAAGCAUAAAGAGUAGUUAAGGAGUUGCUUUAGAGGAUGACACGACCGUGCCAAAUUGAAGACACCAUUAUUGGUGAUAAAAAACUGAAAAGUACAUACAAAGCAUAAUAAGACCAAACCACAAAGAAAAAGGAGCAUAAGCAACUACAUUCACUGAAAAUAAUAAAUUGCAUGGAUUUUUUUUUUAAAGUGGAAAAUAAGAC
This 572-nucleotide long non-coding RNA is filed under the name Vitis vinifera (wine grape). RNAcentral describes it as "long non-coding RNA (VVIN_LNC000412)". Lineage: Eukaryota; Viridiplantae; Streptophyta; Magnoliopsida; Vitales; Vitaceae. The record is from RNAcentral.